CGAAGGGAAAACCAAAUUUGCUUUUUUUCUGAAGGGAAUUUGUGUUUGUCAGGAAGGGCUCCCAGGGUCUUUGUCUGGAGGCCUUGAUGUGUGACCAGUAGCCCAGAGGCUGCCCUUCACCCCUGGCCUUAUUCUGCCAGGGCUCUGCCCACCCACACGGACACGGCAGGGGGAAGGGUUUCAGAGGAGGCAGAAUCAAAAGCUGAGGGAUGAGGAGGGGGGAAAAAAGUGCUUUUCAGGGUCUGAUGUGUGGGAAUCAAAUGAGAGGCCUAGCUCAAAUCCGGUCGCCAGGCAACCAUAGUGAUAUGCUGAGGGAAUAUCAUUAAAGUUGGGAAGUAAGCAGGCUCUCUGAAUUAGUAAACCUGCCCACAGUGCAGGGGAUGGAGGGGAUGCGCCCCAACUCCACUGGCUCCCCAGCACAAGCUCUGCAAGGAGGAGGAGAGCUCUCCCAAAGUGCAGCGAACAUCUGUGACUCUAAUGAGGUCAUCAUCGAGGGUGUCCAGAGAGCUGGGCCCUGAGAACCAACCUCGACUGCCUUGGCCUGGACGGAGAGGGUGUUGGUCACCUAUUCCUUCAUUCAAUGAGCAUUUAGGACUUACUCUGGACCAGCUACUGGAAAUACAAAGACAAAAGUACAAUUAUCUUUAACCUCAUGAAGCUUCAUUCAGUAACACUCAAACAGAGAAGACAACCAGGAUUGCAAGAUACCCAGACCUGGUACACACUCAGCUGUCUAUGAUGAGCUUCUUUUCUGGAGUAGAAGUUAACAUGCUGAACUUGGAAACAGGAAGGGUUGCAUCUGAAUCUUACCUCUAACUCUUAUUACUUAUUGGACCUAAAUACAGGUCAUUUUGUUUCUCUCAGCCUCAGUUUCUUCAUCUGUAACAUAAGGCCACUAAUUGCCACGGUGCCUCCUUUGUUAAAAAGAUAAUGAGGCUCAGAGAAAUUACAGCUAAUUAGAAUCAGAUAGAGGACAAGAAGGUAGAUUUCUUGCCACUCACUCCAGUGUUCUUAUCAUUAUAUGUUACUAGGCUAGGAAGUAAAGGUAUGUAUACAGUAUGUGCUCACGACAAGUUGGUUCACUAUAAAGUCUUACCAAAAACCUGCUCAGGACUCCCAUAGUUCUUCCUGCAUUUCCCACUCAUCCAGUUUUUUAGCAUGUACCACAUCGUGACAUCUCUCACUUUGUACAAACAAAUAUAAAAUGGCAACUCUUUAUUUUUGAAAUGUUUAUUUAGUCAAUUUAGAACAUUUUUUCCUUGGUUACAAGAAUCAUAUUCUUUCCCUCCCCUCCUCCUACCCCUUCCUGUAGCCAAUGCACAAUUCCAUUGGGUUUUACAUGUGUCCUUGAUCAAGACCUAUUUCCCUAUUAUUGAUGUUUGCACUAGGGUGAUCAUUUAGAGACAACAUCCCCAGUCAUAUCCCCAUCAACCCAUGUAACCAGGCAGUUGUUUUUCUUCUGUUUCUAUUCCCUCAGUUCUUCCUCUGGAUGAGGAUAGCAUCUUUCUCAUAAGUGCCUCAAAAUUGUCCUGGAUCAUUGCCUUGCUGCUAAUAGAGAAGUCCAUUACGUUCGAUUGUACCAGUGUCUCAGUCUCUGUGUACAAUGUUCUCCUGGUUCUGCUCCUUUUGCUCUGCAUCAAUUCCUGGAGGUCUUUCCAGUUCACAUGGAAUUCCUCCAGUUCAU
This 1684-nucleotide long non-coding RNA is filed under the name Monodelphis domestica (gray short-tailed opossum). RNAcentral describes it as "lncRNA (ENSMODG00000045986.1)". Lineage: Eukaryota; Metazoa; Chordata; Mammalia; Didelphimorphia; Didelphidae. The record is from RNAcentral.